CCUACGGGUGGCAGCAGUGGGGAAUUUUCCGCAAUGGGCGAAAGCCUGACGGAGCAAUACCGCGUGAGGGAAGAAGGUCUGUGGAUUGUAAACCUCUUUUGUUAGGGAAGAUGAUGACGGUACCUAACGAAUAAGCAUCGGCUAACUCCGUGCCAGCAGCCGCGGUAAGACGGAGGAUGCAAGCGUUAUCCGGAAUUAUUGGGCGUAAAGCGUACGUAGGCUGUUUCAUAAGUCUGUUGUCAAAGACUGAGGCUUAACCUUGGAAAGGCAAUGGAAACUGUGAGGCUAGAGAGAGAAAGGGGCAGGAGGAAUUCCAGGUGUAGCGGUGAAAUGCGUAGAUAUCUGGAAGAACACCAGUGGCGAAAGCGUCCUGCUGGAUCUCAACUGACGCUGAAGUACGAAAGCUAGGGGAGCGAAUGGGAUUAGAUACCCCAGUAGUC
This 440-nucleotide ribosomal RNA is filed under the name uncultured Pseudanabaena sp. RNAcentral describes it as "bacterial SSU rRNA". It matches the Rfam family "Bacterial small subunit ribosomal RNA", at positions 338 to 795 of the family's 1533-position model. The record is from RNAcentral. Lineage: Bacteria; Bacillati; Cyanobacteriota; Cyanophyceae; Pseudanabaenales; Pseudanabaenaceae.